CUCACUGUAUUUCAUGCUUGUGUGUGAUCGUUGUCAGAUCGCUCUAUUCUGUGUGUAGUGUAACCUGCCUGGGCUAUCACAACACUUACACGCAACAGUUUACUCCAACGUGAUUCACCUUGAGAAGAAAGAGUGAUGAAAGGACCAGAGCUAAAGGAUUCCACAGGCCGCUUUCGAUUUGCUCAGUCAUGUCUGGGCCUGGCGGGCUGCUUGUGUAUCAGCUAUGCUGUUUGGACGCCUCAUUGGCUGGAUGAGAGGGGCCUGUGGGUGAACGGGAACGAGUCGAGUCCAGACGACAGCUGGACACAGGGACAGGGCAUUGAAGGUCUGGGGGCUCAGAGGGUGUUUUCUGCUCUAUCGUUCAUCAUGGCUGUGAGCUCGGGAGUUCUGUGCCUGGUCUUCGCUUUCUGCUGGACGUCCCGGACCGUGCGCUCUUAUUCCAACACACGCUCUCUACUGAUGGCAGGCCAGGCACUCUACCCCACCAUGCUGCUACUCAUCACACUGGUGCCUACUGGGUUCUUCUUUCUUCUCAGCUGGGCACUCUUCACCAAUCAGCACAUCGCUGAAAUCAGAGUCGACAUCACGCGCCUGGGGUUCUCCUAUUGGACGGGCAUGGUGGGCUGGGCUUUGCUGUUAGCUGUGCUGCCGGUGGUGUUCCUGGUGGAGCAGUUUGUGGUGCCGGACGUGCUGCCGGAGCUGAUGAGGCAGGCCGAGACGUGGUGGAAGGCCCCUGAGGUGGCUUACGCUCGCUCGUUUAGCGAGAGCUUCUACAACCACAGGGGGCCGAAACUUGACAAGGAGUUCAAUAGGUACCUGUCAGUGCCCUGAGAAGGAGUGUAGCGGCACAGGCCUUGUGUCAAAUCCUGCUAUUGACUCAAUACCUGCACCUACUGCUCCUAACAGCCGAACAUAAGGCCUGAGCUCCGGUGGAAGGCUUGCAGAAGCUCGGAAGGUCGCGGAUGUGGAUACUGCACUUUAGCCGAGAGCUGUUGAGGCCUGCCAGAGCCUGAUGAGCAAAGGAAUGGCCUUGAUUUGGGCCUAUGAACUGAUAUUAAAGCCUGCUGAAAAAAUACUAAAUGUUUCCCACUUUCAGAAAGCUGUGUAAACACUACCUGCAUAAUGGCAAGACUACUGUUUACUGUUACUGAUGUACACUGGAUCACUUUCAGGCUGCAUUUAGAAUUUAAUGCAGUACUUAUUUAGAUUUUAUGAACAAUAUGACGACAUCUUAAUACAAUUCUAGACUAAGGAAUGGAGUGAACAAAAUUCAUGUCAGGCAGAGGACGAUCAUCAUGUAUUCAUGUUGUAACAGCUCCCUCGUGUGGUUAUGCCAUGUUACUACAUUGUUCAAGUUACUACUCGGUAUUACAAGUCAAGGUGCUUGUAGUCACAUAUCUCAUAUCUGAUCAGCCCAGGUUGAGCUUGUUUUUGUUUGGCAUGUUGUUGUCAUUACAAAUAAAUAAAAAGGUAAAUAAAUAAAUAACCA
RNAcentral lists this long non-coding RNA (1489 nucleotides) under Astyanax mexicanus (Mexican tetra). RNAcentral describes it as "lncRNA (ENSAMXG00005020347.1)". The record is from RNAcentral. Lineage: Eukaryota; Metazoa; Chordata; Actinopteri; Characiformes; Acestrorhamphidae.